ACUACUACAAUAAAUUAUCGAUUACAUCCUGGAAGAGAAUAAAAAGUUCAUUAACUAUAACUCAUUGAUCGUGAAAACAUAACAAUUAAGGCCAUUUCUCCAUCAUGUCACGAAGUUUAUCAAUGGGUGCAGCAAAAAGUCCUGCGACGGUUUCGAAGGGAGGUUUAUUUGGAGCAGAAGGAUGGCUAUGCGUAGGAACAAACUUCUUUGUUCUUUCAAAAGAAGAUGCCAUAUGUAAUGACUCUUCUUCGCUAAGAUGCUUUUCCAAAAAGGGAAUAUCAUGUUGCUCCUCCUCGUCAAUAUGUUUCUGAAGAGAUUCCAUUAGCUCAUCCAAAGCGGGAAUAAAAUUACUCUGGUUAGCCUUCAUUGAUUGAAAUUUAUAUAGCAUUUCCUUAACUAAUUGGUGUUCGUGUCUGUCUUUCUCCGCCAUUUCUUUCCCUUCCUCGCCAAGGUACUUUUCGAACUUGGGAUAAACAACAAUUUCCUCUCCGACCGAAUGUCUUGCAAGUUCCCAAACAAAUUGGUUUUGCCAUCUAGUAGCAGUAUCAUAGUCGUUUGCCGACUUUAUAUUUUGGUAAUCGCUUUGCAAUUUCCUAUGAUCUUUAAAAAUAGCAUCUGAAAUUCUUGUCAUCUUGUAACUUAAUAGUCUUACAGGGAAAAAAUUGAGACUAACUUUUUUCUUGGAAUACUGAAGCAUUUGGAUUUUAUGUAGUGAAGGAUCUAUAUAUAUUCCAUUUUUGAAUAGCUGCACAAAACUAUUGCAAAUGUACGUAACCACUAAACUCUUAUUGCAAAUGUACGUAACCACUAAACUCUUAGCUCAACAUAUAUUUUUGCAGACACUUUAUAUUAAUCGCCUCUUUGCCUUCAUUACUUUGUACAUGCUACGUCGUGCUGUUGCUAAAGUCUUCUUUU
Schizosaccharomyces pombe (fission yeast) is the source of this 915-nucleotide non-coding RNA. NCBI's taxonomy places the organism in Eukaryota, Fungi, Ascomycota, Schizosaccharomycetes, Schizosaccharomycetales, Schizosaccharomycetaceae. The record is from the annotation of a GenBank genome assembly.